UGCCCACAGGAGUCCUGUGGAUCCACUCAUUAAGGAAGAACAUGCCCACAGCUGAGACCCAAAAGACUUCCCUGGAGGUGUUCUUUCUCUGUGGAAGAACAGCAGCACAGCUCCCUCUGUGUGAAUGCACGUCUAUUCUUCUGGUUAUUAUCCCCAGCAGAGCCUGUGAGCUUACACGCGCGGUAUACACCCGAUCACACACACGGGGCGGGGCGGGGGGGGGGGGACAGAGAGAGAACAAGCGAAUGCCUUGCAGUCGCUGCUUCAUACUCCUUGGCAUGCCCCAAAGAUGUGGCACCGGGCACAGAGAAGAGGGCCGGUGCACUCAGAGGUCAGGGAGUGGACUCAUCCAUGCCCUAGAGGUGCUGCAAGCCCCCGCCCAGCCGCUGCCGUUUCCCCGGGCAGGUGUCCUGAGCCCUGACGUCGCGGCUGCGGAAGCCCAGAGUCUCUAGGACUCGACCUGGUGAGCACCAACUGCCUAGGAGGUCCCGCAGGCCGGGAGGUGGCACGCGUGGAGAUGGCGGGCCGCCGAGGAAGGGGUCACCGCAGAUGGAAGAAACAGGAGGCUGCAGGCCAGUGGAGAGACCUGGGGACUUGGUGGGAUAGAGGGUGG
This is a long non-coding RNA of Myodes glareolus (Bank vole), 613 nucleotides long. RefSeq lists it as uncharacterized. The record is from RefSeq and is a predicted model, not a curated record. Lineage: Eukaryota; Metazoa; Chordata; Mammalia; Rodentia; Cricetidae.